GACGAACGCUGGCGGCGUGCUUAACACAUGCAAGUCGAGCGGUAAGGCCCUUUUGGGGGUACACGAGCGGCGAACGGGUGAGUAACACGUGGGUGACCUGCCCUCAGCUCUGGGAUAAGCCUGGGAAACUGGGUCUAAUACCGGAUAUGCACUGCUUAUCGCAUGGUGGGUGGUGGAAAGUCCUGUUCUGUAAUGGAUUGGGGCGGCUGGGGAUGGGCCCGCGGCCUAUCAGCUGUUGGUGGGGUGAUGGCCUACCAAGGCGACGACGGGUAGCCGGCCUGAGAGGGCGACCGGCCACACUGGGGA
RNAcentral lists this ribosomal RNA (306 nucleotides) under uncultured bacterium. RNAcentral describes it as "bacterial SSU rRNA". It matches the Rfam family "Bacterial small subunit ribosomal RNA", at positions 28 to 319 of the family's 1533-position model. The record is from RNAcentral.